Molecule: transfer RNA, 94 nt
Filed under: Streptomyces sp. NP10
Lineage: Bacteria; Bacillati; Actinomycetota; Actinomycetes; Kitasatosporales; Streptomycetaceae
Description: tRNA-Arg
Source: RNAcentral
CCGGCUCGGAGGCCGUGUCCGGUGUGACCUCGGUGUGCGGGGCCGGCGCGGAGGCCGUGUCCGCCGGGUCCGGUUCGGCCUCCGGCGGGCCGGG